This is a long non-coding RNA of Drosophila biarmipes, 388 nucleotides long. RefSeq lists it as uncharacterized. The transcript has 3 exons. The record is from RefSeq and is a predicted model, not a curated record. NCBI's taxonomy places the organism in Eukaryota, Metazoa, Arthropoda, Insecta, Diptera, Drosophilidae.
UUUACAUAUGUACAUAUUCAAAUGCGCAGUACAUAACGGGAAUGUAACGUGUUUUUCUCCCCUCUCUCUAUCGACCAUACUAUAUCACUCUCAGCAGCUCUCUGACCCCGCUCUCUCUUAUGAUCUCUGUCACCCUCCCUCUCGCAUCGUUUCACUCCCUUCUUCUCUUUCUGUGCUUGCUCUUUUAUUAUUGGUAUCUCUUUCUUUGUGUUCACUCUCUGGCUCUAAAUUCUUCUUUCCCACAUCUCCGAUUGAGUGGUGCUCAUUAAGAGCGGUGUGUUCAAUGGAGUCGGACGUCGCGGACGCAAUGUUCUUUAGAAAAAGGUAAACGACUCUUAAGAAAAGUAGAAACACAAGGAUCAAAAUUAAAUUCAGAACGAACCACAGA